RNAcentral lists this ribosomal RNA (497 nucleotides) under uncultured bacterium. RNAcentral's name for it is "partial 16S ribosomal RNA". It matches the Rfam family "Bacterial small subunit ribosomal RNA", at positions 28 to 507 of the family's 1533-position model. The record is from RNAcentral.
GAUGAACGCUGGCGGCGUGCCUAAUACAUGCAAGUCGAGCGAACGGACGAGAAGCUUGCUUCUCUGAUGUUAGCGGCGGACGGGUGAGUAACACGUGGAUAACCUACCUAUAAGACUGGGAUAACUUCGGGAAACCGGAGCUAAUACCGGAUGAUAUUUUGAACCGCAUGGUUCAAAAGUGAAAGACGGUCUUGCUGUCACUUAUAGAUGGAUCCGCGCUGCAUUAGCUAGUUGGUAAGGUAACGGCUUACCAAGGCAACGAUGCAUAGCCGACCUGAGAGGAUGAUCAGCCACACUGGAACUGAGACACGGUCCAGACUCCUACGGGAGGCAGCAGUAGGGAAUCUUCCGCAAUGGGCGAAAGCCUGACGGAGCAACGCCGCGUGAGUGAUGAAGGUCUUCGGAUCGUAAAACACUGUUAUUAGGGAAGAACAUAUGUGUAAGUAACUGUGCACAUCUUGACGGUACCAAAUCAGAAAGCCACGGCUAACUACGUG